This 241-nucleotide long non-coding RNA is filed under the name Elaeis guineensis (African oil palm). RNAcentral describes it as "long non-coding RNA (EGUI_LNC056835)". Lineage: Eukaryota; Viridiplantae; Streptophyta; Magnoliopsida; Arecales; Arecaceae. The record is from RNAcentral.
ACUUGUAUACUAUGUCAGUGUCUCCACACUCUUUGAUUAAGAAGAUAACUAACCAACGUGGCAUACAAUGACCUACACUUCAUAUAGCUAUCAUCCUAAUAAUAGCAUAUCAUUUGGUCGUGAACAAAGUUUAAGGAUUAAAUGAUAUAUCCUCCUAUAUCGAAUCAAAUAGUCCUAAAAAUUUCAUCAUAAAAUAGGAGUUCAAACAAGAUAUACACAAAGUAAUGAUAUAAUCAAAUAA